RNAcentral lists this non-coding RNA (101 nucleotides) under Pseudo-nitzschia pungens. Lineage: Eukaryota; Bacillariophyta; Bacillariophyceae; Bacillariales; Bacillariaceae. The record is from RNAcentral.
AACUAAACCAAAAUCGAGACAAUGCUCCGAAGAAAUAGACGCCUCCUGCCAUGUGUUCGAUCCUGGACACGACAGCAUCGGCAUCAGCAUCAAUCACAAUC